UAACCUACGGGGGGCAGCAGUAGGGAAUUUUCGUCAAUGGGGGGAACCCUGAUGCAGCGACGCCGCGUGAGUGAAGAAGUAUUUCGGUAUGUAAAGCUUUAUCAGCAGGGAAGAUAAUGACGGUACCUGACUAAGAAGCCCCGGCCAACUACGUGCCAGCAGCCGCGGUAAUACGUAGGGGGCAAGCGUUAUCCGGAUUUACUGGGUGUAAAGGGUGCGUAGGUGGCAUGGCAAGUCAGAAGUGAACGCCCGGGGCUCAACCCCGCGGACUGCUUUUGAAACUGUCAGGCUGGAGUACGGGAGAG
RNAcentral lists this ribosomal RNA (305 nucleotides) under uncultured bacterium. RNAcentral describes it as "bacterial SSU rRNA". It matches the Rfam family "Bacterial small subunit ribosomal RNA", at positions 333 to 656 of the family's 1533-position model. The record is from RNAcentral.